UACGUAGGUGGCAAGCGUUGUCCGGAUUUAUUGGGUUUAAAGGGUGCGUAGGCGGUCUUUUAAGUCAGUGCUGAAAUAUCCCGGCUUAACCGGGAGGGUGGCAUUGAUACUGAAGGACUUGAGUACAGUCGAGGUAGGCGGAAUUGACGGUGUAGCGGUGAAAUGCUUAGAUAUCGUCAAGAACACCGAUAGUGUAGACAGCUUACUAGGCUGAAACUGACGCUGAGGCACGAAAAGUGUGGGGGAUCAAACAGG
RNAcentral lists this ribosomal RNA (255 nucleotides) under uncultured bacterium. RNAcentral's name for it is "partial 16S ribosomal RNA". It matches the Rfam family "Bacterial small subunit ribosomal RNA", at positions 524 to 776 of the family's 1533-position model. The record is from RNAcentral.